RNAcentral lists this unclassified non-coding RNA (252 nucleotides) under Bombus terrestris (buff-tailed bumblebee). RNAcentral's name for it is "misc RNA ENSBTSG00005026066.1". Lineage: Eukaryota; Metazoa; Arthropoda; Insecta; Hymenoptera; Apidae. The record is from RNAcentral.
UUCUAAAACAGGCAGUACAUAAUUAAUCGUCGUAACAAUUACAAGUUUUAAUAGUUCGGACGUUUACCAUUUGUUCGUCAUCGUUUUCUUGUCGCAUGAAUAAGUUCUCCCGCAGGAUCUCUCCAUUCCUGAAACGACGAGUGCCUCUACAAAAUGGAAUGGAAUGGAACUACGUGACAUUGUUUGCACGAUACCACCGAAACAUGUCUGUAAUCGUACAUAUUUCACGCGUACAUCGAAGCAGUAUUACGU